UACAGAGGUCUCAAGCGUUGUUCGGAUUUAUUGGGCGUAAAGGGUGCGUAGGUGGCGCGCUAAGUCAGGUGUGAAAUUUCGGAGCUUAACUCCGAAACUGCAUUUGAUACUGGCGUGCUUGAGGACUGGAGAGGAGACUGGAAUUCAUGGUGUAGCAGUGAAAUGCGUAGAGAUCAUGAGGAAGACCAGUGGCGAAGGCGGGUCUCUGGACAGUUCCUGACACUGAGGCACGAAGGCCAGGGGAGCAAACGGG
Molecule: ribosomal RNA, 253 nt
Filed under: uncultured bacterium
Lineage: Bacteria
Description: partial 16S ribosomal RNA
Rfam family: Bacterial small subunit ribosomal RNA
Source: RNAcentral